This is a non-coding RNA of Rhincodon typus (whale shark), 375 nucleotides long. Lineage: Eukaryota; Metazoa; Chordata; Chondrichthyes; Orectolobiformes; Rhincodontidae. The record is from the annotation of a RefSeq genome assembly.
AUGACCGAGAAAAGAUUGAGGAAGGCUAAAGAGGUGUCUGGACAAGAUGAGGUGAAGCAGUACCCUGGGCAGGCUGUUGUAAGUGAAAUGGGAAUCGCAUCCAUGAACUGUACCAGCACCAUUGCUUUUUCCAUUGUGUACUGGUAUAAACAACUCCCGAAUCAGCCACCCCAGCAUCUGGUGAUGGCCAGUCGCAGAGCUGAUUCACACGAAAAGAUCACUGCUUCAAUCGGUGAAGGGAAUAAAUUCAGUGCCCUGACUGUGAGAAACUGCAGCACCAGCGACAGUGCCAUUUAUUUCUGCGCCAUGAGGGCACAGCGUUGCAAACAUAUGGCGAGCUCGUACAGAAACGUACGCAGAGUGGAAGACAGCUAA